Ipomoea nil (Japanese morning glory) is the source of this 323-nucleotide long non-coding RNA. RefSeq lists it as uncharacterized. The transcript is spliced from 3 exons. NCBI's taxonomy places the organism in Eukaryota, Viridiplantae, Streptophyta, Magnoliopsida, Solanales, Convolvulaceae. The record is from RefSeq and is a predicted model, not a curated record.
CCUAAAGGGAUUGGAAAUUUGCGUAACCUAAGCGAGAUUAAUUUAAGUAGGAGCAAAGUUGAGGAGUUACCUGAUUCAAUUUGCUCUUUGGAUAAUUUGGAAAUUCUAAACCUUAAAGAAUGUACGUGCCUUUCUAGACUUCCUGAAGGGAUUGGAAAUUUGCAUAGGUUAAGAUCGAUUGAUUUAAGCGAGAGCAAAGUUGAGGAGUUACCUGAUUCAAUUUGCUCUUUGGAUAAUUUGGAAAUUCUAAACCUUAAAGAAUGUACGUGCCUUUCUAGACUUCCUGAAGGGAUUGGAAAUUUGCAUAAGUUAAGAUUGAUUGA